Molecule: RNase P RNA, 425 nt
Filed under: Candidatus Phytoplasma rubi
Lineage: Bacteria; Bacillati; Mycoplasmatota; Mollicutes; Acholeplasmatales; Acholeplasmataceae
Description: RNase P RNA component class B
Rfam family: Bacterial RNase P class B
About the family: Ribonuclease P (RNase P) is a ubiquitous endoribonuclease, found in archaea, bacteria and eukarya as well as chloroplasts and mitochondria. Its best characterised activity is the generation of mature 5'-ends of tRNAs by cleaving the 5'-leader elements of precursor-tRNAs.
Source: RNAcentral
ACAAAGUGGUGAUCGAAGUUUAAUUUUAUUCAAGUGAUAAAAUUAAGUUUAGGAAAGUCCAUGUUAGCACAUGUUUUUAGGAAAGCAUGUAGUGUUUGUGCUUAAGGAAAAAAUAACUUAAGGUGUUUGAAAUUUUUCAAGCAACGGCUUUUUAAAUUCUAAAGACAUAUUAUAUAUUAUUUAUAAUAAAGUUUAUGAAAAUAAAAAAUAAAGUGCCACAGAGACGAGUUAAUUAGAAAUAAUUAAGUGAAACGCGGUAAACCCCUCAAGCUAAUAAUCCAAAAUUAUGGUAGGAGCAUAUAAAAAUCAGUUUUUCCUAAUAUAAAUUUUAAUAAUUGGUUUUUAUACUAUUUUUAGAAAUAAAAGUAGAGAUAAAUGAUCGCACUUGUUUUAUACAAAACAAGAACAGAACAUGGCUUAUUCGU